UUGCAGCCCGACUUGAGUGAAGCUCUUUUUACACGAAGCAAAGCGAAGUGGAAAAAAGCGGGAACGGAAGGCGGAUAAAGC
Molecule: unclassified non-coding RNA, 81 nt
Filed under: Halpernia frigidisoli
Lineage: Bacteria; Pseudomonadati; Bacteroidota; Flavobacteriia; Flavobacteriales; Weeksellaceae
Description: Chryseobacterium frigidisoli Flavo-1 RNA
Source: RNAcentral